This 773-nucleotide ribosomal RNA is filed under the name uncultured bacterium. RNAcentral's name for it is "bacterial SSU rRNA". It matches the Rfam family "Bacterial small subunit ribosomal RNA", at positions 8 to 798 of the family's 1533-position model. The record is from RNAcentral.
AGAGUUUGAUCAUGGCUCAGGACGAACGCUGGCGGCGUGCUUAACACAUGCAAGUCGAACGGAAAGGCCCUUCGGGGUACUCGAGUGGCGAACGGGUGAGUAACACGUGGGUGAUCUGCCCUGCACUUUGGGAUAAGCCUGGGAAACUGGGUCUAAUACCGGAUAGGACCGCAUGCUUCAUGGUGUGUGGUGCAAAGCUUUUGCGGUGUGGGAUGAGCCCGCGGCCUAUCAGCUUGUUGGUGGGGUAAUGGCCUACCAAGGCGACGACGGGUAGCCGGCCUGAGAGGGUGACCGGCCACACUGGGACUGAGACACGGCCCAGACUCCUACGGGAGGCAGCAGUGGGGAAUAUUGCACAAUGGGCGCAAGCCUGAUGCAGCGACGCCGCGUGAGGGAUGACGGCCUUCGGGUUGUAAACCUCUUUCAAUAGGGACGAAGCGCAAGUGACGGUACCUAUAGAAGAAGCACCGGCCAACUACGUGCCAGCAGCCGCGGUAAUACGUAGGGUGCGAGCGUUGUCCGGAAUUACUGGGCGUAAAGAGCUCGUAGGUGGUUUGUCGCGUUGUUCGUGAAAACUCACAGCUUAACUGUGGGCGUGCGGGCGAUACGGGCAGACUAGAGUACUGCAGGGGAGACUGGAAUUCCUGGUGUAGCGGUGGAAUGCGCAGAUAUCAGGAGGAACACCGGUGGCGAAGGCGGGUCUCUGGGCAGUAACUGACGCUGAGGAGCGAAAGCGUGGGGAGCGAACAGGAUUAGAUACCCCGGUAGUCCAA